RNAcentral lists this long non-coding RNA (426 nucleotides) under Chinchilla lanigera (long-tailed chinchilla). RNAcentral's name for it is "lncRNA (ENSCLAG00000027558.1)". The record is from RNAcentral. Lineage: Eukaryota; Metazoa; Chordata; Mammalia; Rodentia; Chinchillidae.
AUGAUGAAAAUGACCAUGAUGUUAACACAGAUGAUGAGACAAAAGAGGAUUCUGAAACAGAGAAUUCUGUGAAUACUGACAAUUCUGGUGGUGCAUUAAGGACACAAUCAAAUUUUGAAAACGACAAUGAAAACUGUCAGCAACUAUUAAAGUUGGCACACGGAUUUGAAGGUGCAGAAGUCAAGCACGACCCACUAGUUUCACAAGUGAGCCAGCCAGCAAACUUAAAAAGAUACAUGUCUGAGUCUACAGAACAGUUUUGCUCAUCCAACAAAAGAGGACGAACAUCUCCUCCAAGACAGGAUAAUAUAUCUUCUCCAAGACAGGAUAAUAUAUCUCCUUCAAGACAGCAAAAUACGGUUUGUAUAGUAAAGUGAAAAUAUUUGAUUUUUGUUCUUCUCAUUCUGCUAUAAUUCUUUUGUUAAA